GCGUGCGUGUGUGUGUGUGUGUGUGUCUGCAGACAGAUUUUGUCACCUCUUUAGCAUUGCAACUGUGCAAGAUACAGUCAGAAAACUUAACAGGUGUGUAGUUGACAUCAAAAUGAGGGACGAGUUUGAAGAUGGGUGCGGUCUAAGCAAGGGCGCCGAAAGUAGAGGGCCCCCCUGGAUCGUUCAGGGAAGCUUCCAGAUGUACUUGAGGCUGUGCGGUAAACUGUUGGCGGGAGCGUGGUCGGCUUUGUGUCCAGCUCUGCCUGUCCUGACCUAGAUCUCUGACAGUAAACAGCUGGUUCCUAAAGCGACGUCGUGCUGCCAUCAGCAGAACAGCCCGGAGAGAUAAAUGUCAGAUUGGACCUUGGCUGAGCCUCUUGAUGCAGCUCAGGGCCCCGCGGUUUGUUUAGGAGAUCCACAGACACUUAGCAGCCAACUGCUGCUGCUGGCAUUGUUUGGUUGUUGUGUUUUGUUCUAAUUAACACUGUUUGCAUUCAAGGCGCACAAUAGAUUACAAAAAAAA
Long non-coding RNA from Perca fluviatilis (European perch), 523 nucleotides. RefSeq lists it as uncharacterized. NCBI's taxonomy places the organism in Eukaryota, Metazoa, Chordata, Actinopteri, Perciformes, Percidae. The transcript is spliced from 2 exons. The record is from RefSeq and is a predicted model, not a curated record.